Molecule: transfer RNA, 75 nt
Filed under: Candidatus Undinarchaeales archaeon
Lineage: Archaea; Nanobdellati; Candidatus Undinarchaeota; Candidatus Undinarchaeia; Candidatus Undinarchaeales
Description: tRNA-His
Rfam family: tRNA
About the family: Transfer RNA (tRNA) molecules are approximately 80 nucleotides in length. Their secondary structure includes four short double-helical elements and three loops (D, anti-codon, and T loops).
Source: RNAcentral
GCCCGGGUAGUCUAAUGGUUAGGAUGGAAGACUGUGGAUCUUCAGACCCGAGUUCAAUUCCCGGCCCGGGCCCCA